Molecule: long non-coding RNA, 439 nt
Filed under: Homo sapiens (human)
Lineage: Eukaryota; Metazoa; Chordata; Mammalia; Primates; Hominidae
Description: HSALNT0331905
Source: RNAcentral
GGUGCGCCCCCUGGCGGGGAGGCGGGCCCUGAGGAGAGUGCCAGGCUCCUGGAGAUCUGGUAACACUCGCCGAAACCAGUGCUUCCUGGGACCUAGUUUGGAAAAGCUGGUUGUGAAAUACAUACUGCGGUUCAGCCUCCUCCCGCCUAAGAGCAACAAUGCCUGUGAGCAUAACCUUACCAAGAAGCGUGAAUCAUAUGAUAAUUACAUAUGGCACCCACAUAUCCAGAGGAGAACAGCACGGUGUGAGCCCUCAUCAAAUUGUCCAAGCCAGAAACCUAGGCCUUUUCCUGGAAUGACGUUCCUCCACAGGUCUCUAAUAGGUGGACCCCUGCAGCAUUCACCCAGCUUUUUCACUGCGCCUGAAUAGAAGAUGCCCUUUCAGGCCAGGCGCAGUGGCUCACACCUGUAAUCCCAGCACUUUGGGAGGCCGAGGCGG